RNAcentral lists this ribosomal RNA (724 nucleotides) under uncultured Fusobacterium sp. RNAcentral's name for it is "bacterial SSU rRNA". It matches the Rfam family "Bacterial small subunit ribosomal RNA", at positions 28 to 776 of the family's 1533-position model. The record is from RNAcentral. Lineage: Bacteria; Fusobacteriati; Fusobacteriota; Fusobacteriia; Fusobacteriales; Fusobacteriaceae.
GAUGAACGCUGACAGAAUGCUUAACACAUGCAAGUCGACUCGAGUCUUCGGACUUGGGUGGCGCACGGGUGAGUAACGCGUAAAGAACUUGCCUCUUAGACCGGGACAACAUCUGGAAACGGAUGCUAAUACCGGAUAUUAUGGUUUUUUCGCAUGGAGGAAUCAUGAAAGCUAGAUGCGCUAAGAGAGAGCUCUGCGUCCCAUUAGCUAGUUGGUGAGGUAACGGCCCACCAAGGCAAUGAUGGGUAGCCGGCCUGAGAGGGUGAACGGCCACAAGGGGACUGAGACACGGCCCUUACUCCUACGGGAGGCAGCAGUGGGGAAUAUUGGACAAUGGACCACAAGUCCGAUCCAGCAAUUCUGUGUGCACGAUGACGUUUUUCGGAAUGUAAAGUGCUUUCAGUCGGGAAGAAGUCAGUGACGGUACCGACAGAAGAAGCGACGGCUAAAUACGUGCCAGCAGCCGCGGUAAUACGUAUGUCGCAAGCGUUAUCCGGAUUUAUUGGGCGUAAAGCGCGUCUAGGCGGCAAGGAAAGUCUGAUGUGAAAAUGCGGAGCUCAACUCCGUAUGGCGUUGGAAACUGCCUUACUAGAGUACUGGAGAGGUAGGCGGAACUACAAGUGUAGAGGUGAAAUUCGUAGAUAUUUGUAGGAAUGCCGAUGGGGAAGCCAGCCUACUGGACAGAUACUGACGCUAAAGCGCGAAAGCGUGGGUAGCAAACAGG